Non-coding RNA from Cercophora sp. LCS_1, 89 nucleotides. The record is from the annotation of a GenBank genome assembly. NCBI's taxonomy places the organism in Eukaryota, Fungi, Ascomycota, Sordariomycetes, Sordariales, Lasiosphaeriaceae.
GCAGGUUUAGCUCAGCUGGGAGAACGUCAGACCGAAGUCCACCUUAUCAUAUUAUCUGAAGGCUGAGCGUUCAAGCCACUCAACGUGCA